This 72-nucleotide transfer RNA is filed under the name Mustela putorius furo (domestic ferret). It matches the Rfam family "tRNA". From Rfam's summary of the family: Transfer RNA (tRNA) molecules are approximately 80 nucleotides in length. Lineage: Eukaryota; Metazoa; Chordata; Mammalia; Carnivora; Mustelidae. The record is from Rfam by way of RNAcentral.
ACCUGGCUGGCUCAGUCGGUAGAGCAUGUGACUCUUGAUUUUGGGGUCGUGAGUUUGAGCCCACGCUGGGUG